This 67-nucleotide transfer RNA is filed under the name Marmota monax (woodchuck). Its description in RNAcentral is "tRNA.Val". Lineage: Eukaryota; Metazoa; Chordata; Mammalia; Rodentia; Sciuridae. The record is from RNAcentral.
GGGGCUGUAGCUCAGUGGCAUAGCACUCGCCUAACGUGUGAGGCUCAGGGUUCGAUCCUUAGUACCA